UUACGGUCAUAUCGCGUUGAAACACCGGUUCUCGUACGAUCACGGAAGUUAAGCAACGUCAAGGCUGAUCAGUAUCGAGAUGCGUGACCGCUUGGGAAUACCAGGUGCUGCGAG
RNAcentral lists this ribosomal RNA (114 nucleotides) under Acanthosepion pharaonis. Lineage: Eukaryota; Metazoa; Mollusca; Cephalopoda; Sepiida; Sepiidae. The record is from RNAcentral.